Molecule: ribosomal RNA, 451 nt
Filed under: uncultured bacterium
Lineage: Bacteria
Description: partial 16S ribosomal RNA
Rfam family: Bacterial small subunit ribosomal RNA
Source: RNAcentral
GUGGGGAAUAUUGCGCAAUGGGGGAAACCCUGACGCAGCGACGCCGUGUGAGGGAAGAAGGCUUUCGGGUCGUAAACCUCUGUCAGAAAGGAAGAACCUCCCAAGUCCGAAUAGGGCUUGGGACUGACGGUACUUUCAAAGGAAGCACCGGCUAACUCCGUGCCAGCAGCCGCGGUAAUACGGAGGGUGCAAGCGUUAAUCGGAAUCACUGGGCGUAAAGCGCGCGUAGGCGGCUUUCUAAGUCGGGCGUGAAAGCCCUCGGCUCAACCGGGGAAUUGCGUUCGAAACUGGAUGGCUUGAGUCCUGGAGAGGGUGGCGGAAUUCCGGGUGUAGGAGUGAAAUCCGUAGAUAUCCGGAGGAACACCGGUGGCGAAGGCGGCCACCUGGACAGGUACUGACGCUGAGGCGCGAAAGCGUGGGGAGCAAACAGGAUUAGAAACCCGUGUAGUCC